AGAACGAACGCUGGCGGCAUGCCUAACACAUGCAAGUCGAACGAGACCUUCGGGUCUAGUGGCGCACGGGUGCGUAACGCGUGGGAAUCUGCCCUUAGGUACGGAAUAACAGUGAGAAAUUACUGCUAAUACCGUAUGAUGUCUUCGGACCAAAGAUUUAUCGCCUAGGGAUGAGCCCGCGUAGGAUUAGCUAGUUGGUGGGGUAAAGGCCUACCAAGGCGACGAUCCUUAGCUGGUCUGAGAGGAUGAUCAGCCACACUGGGACUGAGACACGGCCCAGACUCCUACGGGAGGCAGCAGUGGGGAAUAUUGGACAAUGGGCGAAAGCCUGAUCCAGCAAUGCCGCGUGAGUGAAGAAGGCCUUCGGGUUGUAAAGCUCUUUUACCCGGGAAGAUAAUGACUGUACCGGGAGAUAAGCCCCGGCUAACUCCGCGCCAGCAGCCGC
Molecule: ribosomal RNA, 445 nt
Filed under: uncultured bacterium
Lineage: Bacteria
Description: SSU rRNA
Rfam family: Bacterial small subunit ribosomal RNA
Source: RNAcentral